Molecule: ribosomal RNA, 859 nt
Filed under: Colletotrichum simmondsii
Lineage: Eukaryota; Fungi; Ascomycota; Sordariomycetes; Glomerellales; Glomerellaceae
Description: partial large subunit ribosomal RNA
Rfam family: Eukaryotic large subunit ribosomal RNA
Source: RNAcentral
CGGAGGAAAAGAAACCAACAGGGAUUGCCCCAGUAACGGCGAGUGAAGCGGCAACAGCUCAAAUUUGAAAUCUGGCCCCAGGCCCGAGUUGUAAUUUGCAGAGGAUGCUUUUGGCGCGGUGCCUUCCGAGUUCCCUGGAACGGGACGCCAUAGAGGGUGAGAGCCCCGUACGGUUGGACACCAAGCCUUUGUAAAGCUCCUUCGACGAGUCGAGUAGUUUGGGAAUGCUGCUCUAAAUGGGAGGUACAUUUCUUCUAAAGCUAAAUAUUGGCCAGAGACCGAUAGCGCACAAGUAGAGUGAUCGAAAGAUGAAAAGCACUUUGAAAAGAGGGUUAAACAGCACGUGAAAUUGUUAAAAGGGAAGCGCUUGUGACCAGACUUGCGUCCGGUGAAUCACCCAGCUCUCGCGGCUGGGGCACUUCGCCGGCACAGGCCAGCAUCAGCUUGCCGUCGGGGACAAAAGCUUCAGGAACGUGGCUCCUCUCGGGGAGUGUUAUAGCCUGUUGCAUAAUACCCUUCGGCGGGCUGAGGUACGCGCUCCGCAAGGAUGCUGGCGUAAUGGUCAUCAGCGACCCGUCUUGAAACACGGACCAAGGAGUCAACCUUAUGUGCGAGUGUUUGGGUGUCAAACCCCUACGCGUAAUGAAAGUGAACGCAGGUGAGAGCUUCGGCGCAUCAUCGACCGAUCCUGAUGUUCUCGGAUGGAUUUGAGUAAGAGCAUAUAGGGUUGGACCCGAAAGAAGGUGAACUAUGCGUGUGUAGGGUGAAGCCAGAGGAAACUCUGGUGGAGGCUCGCAGCGGUUCUGACGUGCAAAUCGAUCGUCAAACAUGCGCAUGGGGGCGAAAGACUAAUCGAACC